Molecule: ribosomal RNA, 231 nt
Filed under: uncultured Alicycliphilus sp.
Lineage: Bacteria; Pseudomonadati; Pseudomonadota; Betaproteobacteria; Burkholderiales; Comamonadaceae
Description: partial 16S ribosomal RNA
Rfam family: Bacterial small subunit ribosomal RNA
Source: RNAcentral
AGAGAUGCAUUGGGUUUAAAGGGUGCGCAGGCGGUUUUUGUAAGACAGAGGUGAAAUCCCCGGGCUCAACCUGGGAACUGCCUUUGUGACUGCAAGGCUGGAGUGCGGCAGAGGGGGAUGGAAUUCCGCGUGUAGCAGUGAAAUGCAUAGAUAUGCGGAGGAACACCGAUGGCGAAGGCAAUCCCCUGGGCCUGCACUGACGCUCAUGCACGAAAGCGUGGGGAGCAAACA